AUUGAACGCUGGCGGCAUGCCUUACACAUGCAAGUCGAACGGCAGCACGGGUGCUUGCCCCUGGUGGCGAGUGGCGAACGGGUGAGUAAUACAUCGGAACAUGUCCUGUAGUGGGGGAUAGCCCGGCGAAAGCCGGAUUAAUACCGCAUACGAUCUACGGAUGAAAGCGGGGGACCUUCGGGCCUCGCGCUAUAGGGUUGGCCGAUGGCUGAUUAGCUAGUUGGUGGGGUAAAGGCCUACCAAGGCGACGACCAGUAGCUGGUCUGAGAGGACGACCAGCCACACUGGGACUGAGACACGGCCCAGACUCCUACGGGAGGCAGCAGUGGGGAAUUUUGGACAAUGGGCGAAAGCCUGAUCCAGCAAUGCCGCGUGUGUGAAGAAGGCCUUCGGGUUGUAAAGCACUUUUGUCCGGAAAGAAAUCCUUGGCCCUAAUACGGUCGGGGGAUGACGGUACCGGAAGAAUAAGCACCGGCUAACUACGUG
This 486-nucleotide ribosomal RNA is filed under the name uncultured bacterium. RNAcentral's name for it is "partial 16S ribosomal RNA". It matches the Rfam family "Bacterial small subunit ribosomal RNA", at positions 30 to 507 of the family's 1533-position model. The record is from RNAcentral.